RNAcentral lists this ribosomal RNA (467 nucleotides) under uncultured bacterium. Its description in RNAcentral is "partial 16S ribosomal RNA". It matches the Rfam family "Bacterial small subunit ribosomal RNA", at positions 29 to 507 of the family's 1533-position model. The record is from RNAcentral.
ACGAACGCUGGCGGCGUGCUUAACCCAUGCAAGUCGAACGGAAAGGCCCUGCUUUUGUGGGGUGCUCGAGUGGCGAACGGGUGAGUAACACGUGAGUAACCUGCCCUUGACUUUGGGAUAACUUCAGGAAACUGGGGCUAAUACCGGAUAGGAGCUCCUGCUGCAUGGUGGGGGUUGGAAGGUUUCGGCGGUUGGGGAUGGACUCGCGGCUUAUCAGCUUGUUGGUGGGGUAGUGGCUUACCAAGGCUUUGACGGGUAGCCGGCCUGAGAGGGUGACCGGCCACAUUGGGACUGAGAUACGGCCCAGACUCCUACGGGAGGCAGCAGUGGGGAAUAUUGCACAAUGGGCGGAAGCCUGAUGCAGCAACGCCGCGUGCGGGAUGACGGCCUUCGGGUUGUAAACCGCUUUCGCCUGUGACGAAGCGUGAGUGACGGUAAUGGGUAAAGAAGCACCGGCUAACUACGUG